Sander lucioperca (pikeperch) is the source of this 98-nucleotide long non-coding RNA. RefSeq lists it as uncharacterized. Lineage: Eukaryota; Metazoa; Chordata; Actinopteri; Perciformes; Percidae. The record is from RefSeq and is a predicted model, not a curated record. The transcript is spliced from 3 exons.
GAUAUCGAUAUUUUCACUCUAACACUUCGCCAGAAAGAACAUAAGAGUAUUUCCUAAAAAUGUUGAACUAUUUCUUUAACACCUUCAGAAACAAAAAC